This 1441-nucleotide ribosomal RNA is filed under the name Klebsiella pneumoniae. RNAcentral's name for it is "bacterial SSU rRNA". It matches the Rfam family "Bacterial small subunit ribosomal RNA". The record is from RNAcentral. Lineage: Bacteria; Pseudomonadati; Pseudomonadota; Gammaproteobacteria; Enterobacterales; Enterobacteriaceae.
CAUGGGGCGGCCUACACAUGCAGUCGAGCGGUAGCACAGAGAGCUUGCUCUCGGGUGACGAGCGGCGGACGGGUGAGUAAUGUCUGGGAAACUGCCUGAUGGAGGGGGAUAACUACUGGAAACGGUAGCUAAUACCGCAUAACGUCGCAAGACCAAAGUGGGGGACCUUCGGGCCUCAUGCCAUCAGAUGUGCCCAGAUGGGAUUAGCUAGUAGGUGGGGUAACGGCUCACCUAGGCGACGAUCCCUAGCUGGUCUGAGAGGAUGACCAGCCACACUGGAACUGAGACACGGUCCAGACUCCUACGGGAGGCAGCAGUGGGGAAUAUUGCACAAUGGGCGCAAGCCUGAUGCAGCCAUGCCGCGUGUGUGAAGAAGGCCUUCGGGUUGUAAAGCACUUUCAGCGGGGAGGAAGGCGGUGAGGUUAAUAACCUUGUCGAUUGACGUUACCCGCAGAAGAAGCACCGGCUAACUCCGUGCCAGCAGCCGCGGUAAUACGGAGGGUGCAAGCGUUAAUCGGAAUUACUGGGCGUAAAGCGCACGCAGGCGGUCUGUCAAGUCGGAUGUGAAAUCCCCGGGCUCAACCUGGGAACUGCAUUCGAAACUGGCAGGCUAGAGUCUUGUAGAGGGGGGUAGAAUUCCAGGUGUAGCGGUGAAAUGCGUAGAGAUCUGGAGGAAUACCGGUGGCGAAGGCGGCCCCCUGGACAAAGACUGACGCUCAGGUGCGAAAGCGUGGGGAGCAAACAGGAUUAGAUACCCUGGUAGUCCACGCCGUAAACGAUGUCGAUUUGGAGGUUGUGCCCUUGAGGCGUGGCUUCCGGAGCUAACGCGUUAAAUCGACCGCCUGGGGAGUACGGCCGCAAGGUUAAAACUCAAAUGAAUUGACGGGGGCCCGCACAAGCGGUGGAGCAUGUGGUUUAAUUCGAUGCAACGCGAAGAACCUUACCUGGUCUUGACAUCCACAGAACUUUCCAGAGAUGGAUUGGUGCCUUCGGGAACUGUGAGACAGGUGCUGCAUGGCUGUCGUCAGCUCGUGUUGUGAAAUGUUGGGUUAAGUCCCGCAACGAGCGCAACCCUUAUCCUUUGUUGCCAGCGGUUCGGCCGGGAACUCAAAGGAGACUGCCAGUGAUAAACUGGAGGAAGGUGGGGAUGACGUCAAGUCAUCAUGGCCCUUACGACCAGGGCUACACACGUGCUACAAUGGCAUAUACAAAGAGAAGCGACCUCGCGAGAGCAAGCGGACCUCAUAAAGUAUGUCGUAGUCCGGAUUGGAGUCUGCAACUCGACUCCAUGAAGUCGGAAUCGCUAGUAAUCGUAGAUCAGAAUGCUACGGUGAAUACGUUCCCGGGCCUUGUACACACCGCCCGUCACACCAUGGGAGUGGGUUGCAAAAGAAGUAGGUAGCUUAACCUUCGGGAGGGCGCUACCACUUUGGGUUCCCGG